GACGAACGCUGGCGGCGUGCUUAACACAUGCAAGUCGAACGGAAAGGCCCUGCUUUUGUGGGGUGCUCGAGUGGCGAACGGGUGAGUAACACGUGAGUAACCUGCCCUUGACUUUGGGAUAACUUCAGGAAACUGGGGCUAAUACCGGAUAUGAGCUCCUGCUGCAUGGUGGGGGUUGGAAAGUUUCGGCGGUUGGGGAUGGACUCGCGGCUUAUCAGCUUGUUUGUGGGGUAGUGGCUUACCAAGUCUUUGACGGGUAGCCGACAUGAGAGGGUGACCGGCGACAAUGGGACUGAGAUACGGCCCAGACUACUACGGGAGGCAGCAGUGGGGAAUAGUGCACAAUGGGCGGAAGCCUGAUGAAGCAACGCCGCGUGCGGGAUGAAGGGCUUCGGGUUGUAAAACGCUUUCGCCUGUGACGAAGCGUGAGUGACGGUAAUGGGUAAAGAAGCACCGGCUAACUACGUG
Molecule: ribosomal RNA, 468 nt
Filed under: uncultured bacterium
Lineage: Bacteria
Description: partial 16S ribosomal RNA
Rfam family: Bacterial small subunit ribosomal RNA
Source: RNAcentral